Molecule: ribosomal RNA, 434 nt
Filed under: uncultured bacterium
Lineage: Bacteria
Description: bacterial SSU rRNA
Rfam family: Bacterial small subunit ribosomal RNA
Source: RNAcentral
AACGAACGCUGGCGGCAGGCCUAACACAUGCAAGUCGAGCGAACCCUUCGGGGUUAGCGGCGGACGGGUUAGUAACGCGUGGGAAUAUACCCUUUGGUACGGAAUAGCCUCGGGAAACUGAGAGUAAUACCGUAUGUGCCCUUCGGGGGAAAGAUUUAUCGCCAAAGGAUUAGCCCGCGUUGGAUUAGAUAGUUGGUGGGGUAAUGGCCUACCAAGUCUACGAUCCAUAGCUGGUUUGAGAGGAUGAUCAGCAACACUGGGACUGAGACACGGCCCAGACUCCUACGGGAGGCAGCAGUGGGGAAUCUUAGACAAUGGGCGCAAGCCUGAUCUAGCCAUGCCGCGUGGACGAUGAAGGCCUUAGGGUUGUAAAGUCCUUUUCAGAUGGGAAGAUAAUGACGGUACCAUCAGAAGAAGCCCCGGCUAACUCCGUG